Molecule: ribosomal RNA, 500 nt
Filed under: uncultured Glomeromycotina
Lineage: Eukaryota; Fungi; Glomeromycota
Description: partial small subunit ribosomal RNA
Rfam family: Eukaryotic small subunit ribosomal RNA
Source: RNAcentral
CCAAUAGCGUAUAUUAAAGUUGUUGCAGUUAAAAAGCUCGUAGUUGAAUUUCGGGAUCAAUACGUCUGUCGUGCCUUUGGUACGUACGGGUGUAAUUGGUUUCUACCUUCUGAGGAUCCUUGAUGUCAUUAAUUUGGCGUCUUGGGGAAUCAGGACUGUUACCUUGAAAAAAUUAGAGUGUUUAAAGCAGGCAUACGCUUGAAUACAUUAGCAUGGAAUAAUGAAAUAGGACGUUCGAUUCUAUUUUGUUGGUUUCUAGGAUCGACGUAAUGAUUAAUAGGGAUAGUUGGGGGCAUUAGUAUUCAAUUGUCAGAGGUGAAAUUCUUGGAUUUAUUGAAGACUAACUACUGCGAAAGCAUUUGCCAAGGAUGUUUUCAUUAAUCAAGAACGAAAGUUAGGGGAUCGAAGACGAUCAGAUACCGUCGUAGUCUUAACCAUAAACUAUGCCGACUAGGGAUCGGAUGAUGUUAAUUUUUUAAUGACUCAUUCGGCGCCUUACG